This 250-nucleotide unclassified non-coding RNA is filed under the name plant metagenome. RNAcentral describes it as "partial contains small subunit ribosomal RNA, internal transcribed spacer 1, and 5.8S ribosomal RNA". The record is from RNAcentral.
GUAGGUGAACCUGCGGAAGGAUCAUCCAAAAUACUCCCGCAUGAGCUUGGGUUUUCCGUUUUGAAUAAGGUUGGUUGGCUUACAUUUGGUUUGGUUGGCUUACAUUUUUAACAAUGCUGGAUAGAUCAGGAAAAAACGGAUAUAAAUCAUCAGAUGAAAAGGGAAAAAAAAUCCAAUUAUCACCCCCACCGACGCACUUAUUGAAAGGACUUUUUAAACCAAACCUUUUGACUGAAUUUUUUGACUGACC